This 1493-nucleotide long non-coding RNA is filed under the name Mustela putorius furo (domestic ferret). RNAcentral's name for it is "lncRNA (ENSMPUG00000025085.1)". Lineage: Eukaryota; Metazoa; Chordata; Mammalia; Carnivora; Mustelidae. The record is from RNAcentral.
GGAGAAAGCAGGCUCCCUGCCGAGAAGAAAGCCUGAUGGGGGGCUCAAUCCCAGGACCCUGAGAUAGUGACCUGAGCGAAGGCAGAGGCUUAACCCACUGAGCCCCAACUUUAUGCUUUUAAUCGGUUUCAGUUUCAAUCAUCAGGACAACUAGAGUAAGACCAUUUCAUAUCUGACAGUCAGAAACCACUCAGUAUUUUCUAGAAUAGCUUAAAGAAAAAGGAUGACACCAAAACUCAGUGAAAAUGUCAAAAUUAGAAUUCGCAUAUGUCACUGAUGGGAGCGUGAAAAGUACAUUCACUUUGAAAACUGGCAGUUAACAAAAACAAAUAUUUACCAACGGAAGGGGAGCAUUUCCCAGUCCAAAAUAUGUCUCUUUGCCCUAAGAAUUCUUUUAGGCUGUUACUUUAAAGAAGGAAGAAAGGAAAAGCCCUGAAACUGGAUAUGUUUACUUUUGUAAAAGAUAUUUGCCUUAAUAAGGGAAAGCUCAUUUGUAAGGGUGUCUUCCUCUGUGUAGCAGGAAGGAGAAUGUGUCAUUCUCCAGAAACUCGGAUCGGUGGAGAAGGCACCGCUCUAAAUCAGGCUCCUGAGAAAGAAAUCUGGAGGACUUGGUGGCAGAAGAAAUGGCUGAGUUUCAGGUAAGCCUUGCCUCUAAGGUCGGAGGCUGUGUCAUCUUUUUCUCCUAAAAUUCUUUGUAUUUGGAAAUUGCAAAUGUUGAUUCCUUUAUUUCUGCUUUAUGUCUUCAGGUAUUUUUAAAUCUUUUCAGAAAUAAUACUCACGGUUAGGUCUUUAGAACACUUCUCCCCUCUACCCCAGAGCAUUCACUGCCUUCUGUCCAAGCUGGCUUGCAAUAGGCCGUCAGCAGUUGUCACUUUUUGUUCGUUUUUCUUUUCUGGAUUUAAAUAAUUUAUUCAGCAUACCUCUUAGAAAACAUAUGCUGAUUUUUAAAAAGAAUUUAUUUAUUUAUUUGACAGAGAGAUCACAAGCAGGCAGAGAGCGAGAGAGAGAGAGAGAGAGAGGGGAGGAAGCAGGCUCCCUGCCGAGCAGAGAGGCCAACGUGGGACUCGAUCCUAGGACCAUGCGAUCAUGACCUGAGCCAAAGGCAGAGGCUUAACCCACUGAGCCACCCAGGCGCCCUGAUUUUUUUUUUUUAAAGAUUUUAUUUAUAUGACAGAGUACAAGCAAGGGAGCGGCAGGCAGAGGGAAAGGCAGGCUCCCCCCAGAGAAGGGGGAGCCUGAUGUGGGGCUCAAUCCCAGGACCCUAGGACCAUGAUCUGAGCUGAAGGUAGUUGCUUAACCAACUGACCCACCCAGGCACCCUGAUUUUUUUUUUAAGAUUUUAUUUUAUUUUAUUUUGUGUGUGCAAUGCUAACUUUAUUUUUUUAAUUAAAUUUAUUUAUUUUCAGGAAAACAGUAUUCAUUAUUUUUUCAUCACACCCAGUGCUCCAUGCAAUCCGUGCCCUCUACAAUACCCACCACCUGGUACCCCAACC